RNAcentral lists this ribosomal RNA (492 nucleotides) under uncultured bacterium. RNAcentral describes it as "partial 16S ribosomal RNA". It matches the Rfam family "Bacterial small subunit ribosomal RNA", at positions 29 to 507 of the family's 1533-position model. The record is from RNAcentral.
AGUGAACGCUGGCGGUAGGCCUAACACAUGCAAGUCGAACGGCAGCACAGUAAGAGCUCGCUCUUACGGGUGGCGAGUGGUGGACGGGUGUGGAAUACAUCGGAAUCUACUUUUUCGUGGGGGAUAACGUAGGGAAACUUACGCUAAUACCGCAUACGACCUACGGGUGAAAGCAGGGGAUCUUCGGACCUUGCGCGAUUGAAUGAGCCGAUGUCGGAUUAGCUUGUUGGCGGGGUAAAGGCCCACCAAGGCGAGGAAACGUAGCUGGUCUGAUAGGAUGAUCAGGCACACAGCAACUGAGACACGGCACAGACUACUAAGGAAGGCAGCAAUGGGGAAUAUUGGACAACGGGCGCAAGCCUCAUCCACGAAUACCAAGUGGAUGAAGAACGCCAUCGGGUUGUAGAGCCCUUAUAUAGGGAAAGAAAAGCAGAAGAUUAAUGCCACGAUGUUCUGACGAUACCCAAAGAAUAAGCUACGGCUAACUUCGUG